Cygnus olor (mute swan) is the source of this 454-nucleotide long non-coding RNA. RefSeq lists it as uncharacterized. The transcript has 3 exons. The record is from RefSeq and is a predicted model, not a curated record. NCBI's taxonomy places the organism in Eukaryota, Metazoa, Chordata, Aves, Anseriformes, Anatidae.
CUGGUUAAAUGGAGUGAGAAACGCAGACAUUGUCCAUACUGCAAUCCUUGCGAUGUGAGAAGAGGAAACAGGUUUAGCACCAAUUUAAACAUCCCAAGACACUGCUAUGGCAAGUCUGCAGUCCUGGUCAAUGGGAGGUUUUUGUUCAUUCGAUGUCAUGAAUUGCAGUUGCCUCAGGAUGUCUUCUGUGCUGCUGCUUUUCUUGAGACUCAUAGCAUCGCCUGGAGCCUGCUGAGACUUCCUCCAAAAGAGGCAGCAAGGAGAACUCACUGGUUGUGAGUUCUGGAUCUAUACUUCUUACAACUGAGCUUUGUAGUUUUCUCGUCAGGCUUCAGGUAAACCUGACAGAAUUGAGAACUGUCCUGAAUUACUCAAGUUGUAACCAACGUGAGACAGCAGCAUGGGGCCUUGUGGGGCCAGGGGAAUAAGUCCAGAGGACUGAGGCUGCAAAACU